AACGAACGCUGGCGGCAUGCCUAACACAUGCAAGUCGAACGAGACCUUCGGGUCUAGUGGCGCACGGGUGCGUAACGCGUGGGAACCUGCCCUUAGGUUCGGAAUAACUCCCCGAAAGGGGUGCUAAUACCGGAUAAUGUCUUCGGACCAAAGAUUUAUCGCCUUUGGAUGGGCCCGCGUUAGAUUCGCUAGUUGGUAGUGUAAAAGCCUGCCAAGGCGACGAUCCAUAGCUGGUCUGAGAGGAUGAUCAGCCACACUGGGACUGAGACACGGCCCAGACUCCUACGGGAGGCAGCAGUGGGGAAUAUUGGACAAUGGACGAAAGCCUGAUACAGCAAUGCCGCGUGAGUGAGGAAGGCCGUAGGGUUGUAAAGCUCUUUUACCCGGGAUGAUAAUGACAGUACCGGGAGAAUAAGCUCCGGCUAACUCCGUG
This 433-nucleotide ribosomal RNA is filed under the name uncultured bacterium. Its description in RNAcentral is "partial 16S ribosomal RNA". It matches the Rfam family "Bacterial small subunit ribosomal RNA", at positions 29 to 507 of the family's 1533-position model. The record is from RNAcentral.